GACGAACGCUGGCGGCGUGCUUAACACAUGCAAGUCGAACGGAAAGGCCCUGCUUUUGUGGGGUGCUCGAGUGGCGAACGGGUGAGUAACACGUGAGUAACCUGCCCUUGACUUUGGGAUAACUUCAGGAAACUGGGGCUAAUACCGGAUAGGAGCUCCUGCUGCAUGGUGGGGGUUGGAAAGUUUCGGCGGUUGGGGAUGGACUCGCGGCUUAUCAGCUUGUUGGGGGGGUAGUGGCUUACAAAGGCUUUGACGGGUAGCCGGCCUGAGAGGGUGACCGGCCACCUUGGGACUGCGAUACGGCCCAGACUCCUACGGGACGCAGCAGUGGGGAAUAUUGCACAAUGGGCGGACGCCUGAUGCAGCAACGCCGCGUGCGGGAUGACGGCCUUCGGGUUGUAAACCGCUUUCGCCUGUGCCGAAGCGUGAGUGACGGUAAUGGGUAAAGAAGCACCGGCUAACUACGUG
This 468-nucleotide ribosomal RNA is filed under the name uncultured bacterium. RNAcentral describes it as "partial 16S ribosomal RNA". It matches the Rfam family "Bacterial small subunit ribosomal RNA", at positions 28 to 507 of the family's 1533-position model. The record is from RNAcentral.